UGCGCAGGCGGAAUAUUAAGUCAGUGGUGAAAGCCUACAGCUCAACUGUAGAACUGCCAUUGAUACUGAUCUUCUUGAGUAUAGUUGUAGUGGGCGGAAUAUAUCAUGUAGCGGUGAAAUGCUUAGAUAUGAUAUAGAACACCGAUCGCGAAGGCAGCUCACUAAACUAUAACUGACGCUCAGGCACGAAAGCGUGGGGAGCAAACAGGAUUAGAUACCCUGGUAGUCC
RNAcentral lists this ribosomal RNA (229 nucleotides) under uncultured bacterium. Its description in RNAcentral is "partial 16S ribosomal RNA". It matches the Rfam family "Bacterial small subunit ribosomal RNA", at positions 568 to 796 of the family's 1533-position model. The record is from RNAcentral.